Molecule: long non-coding RNA, 606 nt
Filed under: Oryza brachyantha (malo sina)
Lineage: Eukaryota; Viridiplantae; Streptophyta; Magnoliopsida; Poales; Poaceae
Description: long non-coding RNA (OBRA_LNC000338)
Source: RNAcentral
UAUAUGUUGUUCACUCUUCAGAAAAUUAAAGACUGAAGAGGUAUAUAUGCCGUUGAUUUACCUAGCCAGCCCAACUGCCAGAUGCUAGCUCAUAAGUCAUAACUAAACAUGUUUGGAUAGAGAUGAAGUUGAACUUGCAUAUACGUGGGCUAUUUAAGAUAACAUGUAAGAAACCGGUGGACAUACACCGAGUGCUAAAAACAGUUUCACCUAUACGGAACUAUAUGAACGAUUGAUUGAGAUGAAUGGGUGGUGGAUUGUUGGGGUACAAAAUAAACAUAUGGCCAGCCAUGCACUAUCCAUGCAAGGGCUAGCUGAUGCUAACAUGCAAGGUGAAAAUGCGUCGUUGAGGGUAUUGCCACUGAGACAUAAGGCUGACCACGCGCUAGACAUUGUGCAUGUACUACUAGUUAGCUAGGUUUGCUUGGAAGGCAUCAAGAAUAGGCGGUGUGCGAAAAUGUGUCAUCGAGGGUAUUGCCUACUGCAAUUCGCUGGGUCACACUGUCGUCGUUUGGCAGUCAUAAAAGCUUGAUCCAGGAGCGACGAGAAGAUAGGGAUGACUCUCGAUUGUCUUGUGUUUAUCCCCAUGCAUGGUCACCAUGACAU